RNAcentral lists this ribosomal RNA (378 nucleotides) under uncultured bacterium. RNAcentral describes it as "partial 16S ribosomal RNA". It matches the Rfam family "Bacterial small subunit ribosomal RNA", at positions 338 to 733 of the family's 1533-position model. The record is from RNAcentral.
CCUACGGGAGGCAGCAGUGGGGAAUAUUGCACAAUGGGGGAAACCCUGAUGCAGCAACGCCGCGUGAGUGAUGACGGUCUUCGGGUUGUAAAGCUCUGUCUUCAGGGACGAUAAUGACGGUACCUGAGGAGGAAGCCACGGCUAACUACGUGCCAGCAGCCGCGGUAAUACGUAGGUGGCCAGCGUUGUCCGGAUUUACUGGGCGUAAAGGGAGUGUAGGCGGACUUUUAAGUGAGAUGUGAAAUCCCCGGGCUCAACUUGGGUACUGCAAUUCAAACUAGAAGUCUAGAAUGAAGGAGAGGAGAAUGGAAUUCCUAGUGUAGAGGUGAAAUGCGUAGAGAUUAGGAAGAACACCAGUGGCGAAGGCGAUUCUCUGGA